This is an RNA transcript of Corythoichthys intestinalis (scribbled pipefish), 12484 nucleotides long. It is a transcript of the gene named zinc finger protein 79-like, with no coding region annotated. Lineage: Eukaryota; Metazoa; Chordata; Actinopteri; Syngnathiformes; Syngnathidae. The record is from RefSeq and is a predicted model, not a curated record. The transcript is spliced from 4 exons.
ACAAACACCCUCCCAAACAGUUCUGGUAACUACACCGUCACUGUUUUCUUUUCACCCGUCUUUUUUUCUCUAUUAUUCUCCUCGCUUCACUGAGCCGAACCCUCGACGUGUCGAACACUUUUAUUCGUUUAAAUAUUGAAGUCGUCUCGGCGCACUUUGAAGCUUUGCUGCCCACUUCAGCCUAGCCGAGCCUAGCGGCUAACGAGAAGAACGCGUCGAUCGUGGAAAAUGGACGGGAGAACGACACCGGUGGCAGAAAAAUUCCCUGAAGAACUUUGUAACGUUAAAGUUGUUCGUCACAGACGAGAAGCAGUCAGCACUUCAGCCGGCAUCACCCAAAGACAUCGCUUUCUCAGAGCAGGACAACCCCAAAGAUGACACCAGUGAAAACACACGGGUCUAUAGAAGAGGAGUUCCAAAAGCCUUACAAUAUCAGGUCAGAAAAACACAAGAAAAUAACCCACGCAGUGGGGAUUUGCAUUGCAAAAGACAUGCAACCAUAUUCCGUGGUUGAAGAUGUGGGCUUCGUUAAUUUAAUUGCAACGCUUGACCCGCGUUAUAUUGUUCCCUCGCGGACAUAUUUCGCCCACAACAUAAUCCCCGACAUUUAAGAAAUGGCACGCAAAGCCAUUGAAGAUGAUUUCACGAAAGCACAUAGUUUCGCCCUGACCGCUAAUAGUUGGACAUCCCGUGCUACAGAGUGCUACUACCUAACUGUGACGGUCCACUAUAAUUCAUACCUGUCAAGUUGUACGGUCUCGUCGUAAUUUGUACAAGUGAGCACUGGUUUUUAAAUGUGUACGCCGUCCGUUACGUCCAAAAUCUGCACGUUUUUCGUGCAUUGCGUUUUUGUUUUUUUUCAUCCGUUCGGAUUUGGUCACCGUUUCAGCAAGGAGCCAAUGUUCGUUAACCCCUUAACGCCGAAUGUCGCGAUUCGGCAUCAUACCGUUCCCGCUUUGAAAGCGGCCAACAUAUCGUCUGCCUUUGUUCACUGCCGGUACAUUAAUGUCAAACACAUGCCUAGGAACCUUUUUCAAGCAUUAGUUUCAGUCGUGUCCGACCAGAGACAACACCGCUUCCUUUUCCGGACCGUGAUAUUCAAGAUGAAAGCCACGUCGAAGUCCUGCGCACCAACUUGACUAAUUCAUUCAAUUCAAGAAAUACAAAUGAAUGCAGCAGCUUUUUACGCAAAGCUAGCACACUGGGCCAAACCACCUCCUGUUGAGAGUGCUCUCAGUGAGAGUGAGGGCAGCGAUGAGGAGUACAAUCCUAAUAAAGCAAGUGAAGGUGAUGAAAGCAGCAGCAAUGACUCUACAGUGGACAUUAGCAGCAGUGAGGAAGAUGAUGAUGAUCCGCCUCAUCCACCUCCAACCACCAGUGCUGCACCUGCAAGACCUGCAAGAGCUACAUCAAGGGCAGAUCGAGCCUAAAGCAAUAUAUCCCAAAAAAAGCCAUACAAAUUGGGAUACAAGAUUUUUCUACUGUGCGACACAAGAGGUCUGGUGCACUCAUUUGACAUAUUCACAGGGAAAAUAGAUCCGGUACCAGGCCAACCAGACAUUGGAGCCAGUGGUAACAUUGUGCUCAAGCUUGCACAAGUCAUUCAUCCUGCUGUUCUUUGAUAACUGGUUCUCAUCUGUAGAUCUGUUUGUUGCUCUUGCAAAAAAGGGCAUACCUGCACUUGGGACCGUGCAGCACAAUCGCCUGCGUGGGUGCUGUUUCAGUGCAGACUCAUAGAUGAAGAAGAAGCGAAGAGGGACAUUUGAAGAGCAAGAGGCUCUUGUGGACAAUGUCUGCAUAAGAGCAGUCAAAUGGUUUGAUAAUAGAGGGGUGAUUGUUGCCAGCACAUUUGCCAGUGCCCUGCCUGUUAUGAUAAAAAUAUUCUUUUAUUUAUUUAUUUACAUCAUAUGUCUUUUAGUCUGAUUAAAGAUGUGAUGUACAUCUGUGUUUAAACAAAAACAAUAAUUGAUUUUCAGACUUUCACAAGCAGUGAAAAAAGAUGUUGCGAUAAAAGUGUGUUCAGACCUGAGAUGGGAAUGUGCCUUUUUUGCCAUUUGUUUUCCUUAAUUGCCUGUUGUCGCUAAUCGGCAUCAUACCUAAAUGUAUGACUAUUUUAUGGGCUAUAUUCAAAUUAACACUUUCAAUUUAAUUUAGCAUCUAUUUGAAAGUAAAAACACACCCCAAUUAUUUUUUUUAUUAUUGGAAAAAAAUUUUAGGCAUUAAGGGGUUAAUACUUGAAUGACACGAGAAAAGUCAUACACGGAGAGGGAAGAGUGUUUGUUGAGACGCUGUAGCAAACGCGAUGCUAGGCUAGGUGGCUCCAAUUUCCUGACCGUGGCCGACAUCAUACAAUCUACGCCUAGAUAUCUCAUGCAUAUAGAACUAAAAGCGAAAUGACACUCGGUAGCGUUAGUAAACAGCCGCCAUUUUAGAGCAGUAUACUUCUCAGAAAGGCUUUGUUGUAGUAAACCUUAGCAACUUUUUAUCCAAAAUACUCCUAAAUCGGCAAAAUCUUGACUUGAGUCUAUCUUUAAAGGAUGAAACAGUUAUAAAAUUUUCACAUGUCGAAAGUAGACGGAAGGGAACUAAGGCAAAAACGGGAGCAAUUUUAUCAACUCUAUCGGUUGAUUCACAACAUUAAAUGACCUCCAAACAUAGCAAAGGUUACUAUGUUUUUUUUUUGUUUUUUUUUAAUGAAAAAAAAACAUGAAAGGUAUCACCAGUUACUUUGCCAAGUAACUUUUUUACUACUGUGUGUGUAUUUCAGUAGUCAGUCACUACACUUGCUAAAGAGCUAAGAGGCAUUUUAACAGUCAAAAAUGUUUAAAUUUUAAGUGUUUAUGUCAUUUUUUAAAAAAGCAAAAUAAAGGCAGUUUAAUAAAAAAAAAAAAAAUUAAAUUAAAAAAAACGCAAACCGAACCGAAACCGUGAUCCCAAAACUGAGGUUCAAACCGAACCGUGGGCUAACUGAACCGUUGCACCCCUAAUAUUUAGAGGGUUUUGGGCUGAUAACCACAAUUAAGAUCAUUGCUAGGCUAACCGCCGACAACAUACAGUUUCAAAUUCGAGAUGCUUAUUUCUUCCACCAUCAUUAUUUUUUGAAUAAUAUUUAGCUGGUUCCAAGUGAAAGAAGUUAAACAGGUGUGUCCAAACCUUUUGCAAACGGGGCCAGAUUUGGUGUGGUAAAAAUGCGGGAGGCUAACAUGGCUGAUUUACAUAGAACAAUAUAUUUAAACAAAUUUUAGCAAGCCCUUCUGUGUGUCACAUUUGCUUUAUAUUUUUCUUUUAAUUCAUAAUUUCAACAAUUUCGUCUGUUUGGCGUUCUCUUUCGACACUUUCGACACUGUGCUGUGAAAUUAAACUAGCUUCAAGUUGCUAAAAUUUCUCGCUGCGUAUCUUCCCUGUAAUGUUGUCGUACUUGUCAGCGUGUCUUGUUUAGUAAUAUUGCGUCACAUCGAACUUUUUGAAAACGGCGACUGUCUCUUUGCAAAUGGGGCAGACACAGUUGUUGCGUGUUUUAUUGAAGAAAUAGUCCAAUAUCCACCUAUCCUUGAAGCGUCGGCCAUCGCAGUCAACUUUUUUUUUUUUUAUUGAUUGUCGCCAUUUUAGAAAAUUGGAAGUAAAGGGUCACGCGGGGUAAUGUUGCUAAGAGUGCUGCUCUUAAAGUUUUUCAAACUUUCGUGAGAAUAGGCUGAUUUUGUGUGGACAAGAUAGUUGUAGAUAUCAGGGUAGCAGAUGUCAGGCAGAGAGGGCGAAGACAGCGGGUCGAAAAAUAUCGAUUUAGCCAUCAAAUAUGGAUCUGGCGAAUGGAUAGACUGAAGCUUUUCCACAUAACGCCUUUUAUGCAACGCAUCCAAUGAGUUUACAGCGUCUGAAAGCACCGGGGCUUCUAUGAAUUGCACCAUAAAUUGCACGACAAAUUGAAACCAUUGAGAAUACGGAUAAACACAAACGGACAAUAUGGCGGCCGGAUACAGCGACACGUCAUUCUGUGACGUUGGUGAGUAGGGUCUAUAAUGGUAGGCGUGGCUAACCGGCAGAUUAAAAGACUAAUUUCUCGUCAUCUGCGCUUUGCUAAAUUGUUGUAUAUAGUCGAAUCGUCUCAAAAUAUGAUUCUAAUUCACAAAAUAAUCCUAUUUAAGACUUUUUUUCUCCUUUCGUACGCACUUUAAGUCAUUUAUUAAACGGUGACACCUUUUCUGUGCAACAUUGCUGUAAAAUAUAAAUCUACUGCAAAUUGUGUACCUGCACAUAUAGAGGAAACAAACCACAACCACCGAUAUCUCUUGGAGAGAUCAUGAUGACUGGUACCCUUAAUUUCUUUAAAAUUUUAAAUCUUAAAAAAAAAAAAAAAAAUUAACAGUGCUGUAGGUGUCAGUCAGCAGUUGAGCUUGGAGUGAUUGGAGUAAGUAAUUUGUUACAAUUCUACUUACAAACAAGAUCCUGGAACCAUUUAACUUUGUAUGCAGAGAUACCACUGUACCUAAAUAUUUCAUUAAUAUAAUGCAGACCCAUGGAAGUGUAGUCUAGUCCAGGGGUCACAAUCCGUACCGGUCCACGGCGCAUUUGCUACCGGGCCGCACAGAGGUAAUAUUUUAUUAACGACCGCAUUCUGGCCAAAUUAACUUUGGCCUGUGCCACUGCUUAACACAUCAAUAUCCCUGUCUACUCUAGAUAUAAUACUACAGUAUAGAUUAGAAUGUCGUCAUGGAAAUCCAUUAAUUGGACUGCAAGCAGUACAUCUUGUUUUGUAUAUAUAAUAUAUCUAUGUGCACUUGUCCUCCAUAAUAACGUAUGACUAGGCCACGGGUGCAGCACAUUUGUUCCCCCACACGAGCCAAAAUGAUUGGAAAACAGACGUCUUUGGAGAGAUUUUUCACGGCGAAAAAGGGCACCUGACGAGACAGAAGGUGAGCCUACAACCUCGAAGACUCACGAACUGCGAAGGAGUGCAUUCGUGACCCGUUUGUGAGUAAACCCAGUGAUUCGAGCAUGUCUGUGCAACAAGGGGUUCAGCUUGUAGAGAUCGCAAAUGACGGCAACCUUAAACGUACAUUUGAGACAAUUAAAGUCAUUCCGGAAUAUUCUAACAGCGGUACGAGAACACUGCAAAUCAUGCUACAAUUUCCAACAUCGCAUCUUUGUGAAGCGGGCUUCUUAAUUAAUGCUUAACGACACGGCCAAGGCGUUAACGGUGAGAGAACGGUGUGCAGCUAACAUGGCAGGAUGGGUCUGAGGAGAACUUUUCUACGUAUUCAUCCACGAUCAAACGUAAGUUAAUAUUCCUUUCUUUAAAGAAAGUUUGUAGUGUCUUUGGAAUUGCUGCAUUCGCCGCCAAUGGCCGCGAAUGCGGUAAUUUAACGUGCAUCCGCAGAACCGCAUAGUUGCAGUUUUUGAUGGGUUGCAAAAUUUGUCAAAACACCGGUCCGUGAAAAAAAGACUCAAAUCACACCAGUCCGUUGUGUAAAAAAGGUUGGGGACCCCUGGUCUAGGCAAUACACACACGCUGUAGGGUAUGUGCUCGUGUUGUAUCGGUCGUGAACGAUUCGUUCUUUUUGAACGAAUCACCUUCUGCACUGAUUCGUUCUAUGAAGUUGGGGCUUGUUAGCUGCGUGGGAGGGCGUUUAACAAGCGGCAGCGUCUUCUGACAUCGCACACGACCAAUCACACGCCAGCCUCAUCGUGGGCAGGGGAGGGAGCGGGAACAGAAUCAGGGCAUCUGUCCCUCACUUCCAUGUGUGGCCAAUAAGCAGCCAGCGUGCAUGCAGGGGGCAAGACUGAGUUAUGUCACUUCCCGUUCACUUACUCUGUCCUCUGGCUCCUGACCGAGCUUGUUGUUAACUUGGACUUUCCAGUCAUGCGGUGAACAAGUCAAAAAAUGAAAGGAAAUGACUUUGUCACAUAUUUGUUAAUGCGGAGCCUAUCAUAUGCUGCUCAAACAAACAAAAACACCACACAAACCUAGCGAGCAUGGUUUAGUGUACUACCUUUCUCAACAGACUCGAGACUACAUAUGACGACAUACUAUCAAAUUUACAGUAGUUUAAAACACUUUCAUGGGUAGCUACGAGGCAAGCAAAAGCUGAGCUGCAGUCGUGUGACGGCAGUGCAGGGGGAGAGAACUGUCAUUGUAUGGAGGCAUGAUCUCCAUAAUACUGAUUUGCAAUGAAACUGUAUAUACAUGUCCAUUUUUUCCGAGUGUUUUAUUUAUUUAUUUCGUGUCGGGUGUUGGUUGGUUUGACAAAUUAUGUCCAUCCAUCCAUCAUGUGCUACUCAAGCGCCCAAAAACAACGCACGCGGGCACGGGAGAUGUCGCAAUAUGUUUACGUUUUUCUUAACAGACUAAUGAGAGUAGAAAGGCGACAUCGUAAAGAGCAAACAAUUAUUUCUCGUUAGCAUUUGACGAUCUGAGAUGAGGGGACAACAGAGGAGCUGACCGGAUUAUUUUAUUUAUUAAUACCAGUGAUUUGCAAUGAAACUGUCUAAUAUCAAAAUGUAGUAUUGUUUUCAUUUCAGAGCAACACAUUUGACAACUAGCUAUUUACACUUUAGUUUUAACAAUAGUUACCAAAAAUAAUAGCUAUGAGCAUAAAAACAAAAACACAGCAGAGCGUGAAGUAAAUAUGAUGUGUUGGUCGUUCCAUAUUUAGAAAUUAAACCUUCGAUUUAUUUUCGGGACAGCAAGCAUACCGCGUUGGCUGGUAUCAGCAGCAUUGUAUAUGUGAUCAAGAUCAUGCUAAAGGAAGUCUGUGUGCCCCCGACCCUAGAGCUGGGAAUCUUUGGGCACCUAACGAUUCGAUUACGAUUACGAUUCAGAGGCUCCGAUUCGAUUAUAAAACGAUUAUUGAUGCACCCCCCUCCUUUUUUUCCUCUUUUUUAAAAUGUUUUGUACAUUAGUUCCAAAAUUGUUCAAAAAUACUCUCAGGCUAAACCACACUACUAUUUUAGUAUCAAGUUAACAUAUAGCAGUAAACAAAUAUACAAAAAUAACAUUAAAUAAAAAACUCCAGUCCCCAUUCUGUAUCUGCAGCUUUAAACUACAUUCAAUUAAUUUAAUGUUGUGAAUCAACCGUUAAAUUUGUUAAAAUUGCUCCCGUUAUUCCAUAAUUUCCCUUUUGUCUACUUUUGACAUGUGAAAGUUUUAAAACUAUUUUAAAGAUAGAUUCAAGUCAAUAUUUUACCGAUUUAGGAGUAUUUUAGAUAAAAAGUUAAUUAGGUUUGCUUGGAAGGUUCGCUACAACAGCCUUGCAGGGAAGUGUACUGCUUUAAGAUGGCGGCCGUUUAUAAGGGGCCGGGUAAUUGGAAGCAUGAUGUUUAGCUACUCUCGCUCCGUUCCGUCCCGAAGACCGCGCGGCGCACUGAGUGUUGUGUACUUCCGCUUUACUUCACAUAUUUCAAUAAUCGGAAUUUGGAUGUUUGUGAAUCGUUCUCGAAUCUUCCACGGCCAAAUCGCGAAUAAUCUAAGAAUCGGAAAUUUUGCACACCUCUACCCGUCCCCAAACCCCAACUCCCCCCACAAAAGGAAAAUGUUCAACCGCGUCCUAAAUCGAAAUGCAAGCACGAGCCAUGACUUUGAUCCCAUAGAAAUACGACAGACGACGCGGAAGUUCUCCCUCGCUUUUGCAGCAGCAGGAGGGAGACGAUGCUGUGAAAGCAGAAUGAUAUCGUCUGUCACUCAUUUCUGAAACUACGACGGGCGGUCAAUGAGGAGCCUGUGUGCAAGAGAGGGAGGGACCAAGCAAUGUCACUUCCCGUUCAGUUAUACUGCGAAGCGGUCUUUGGUGAUUCGUUCGUCAACGUCACUUCCCGUUCACUAACCGAACGAUUCAUUUGGGCGGGGAGGGGGAUGAGGGCGGUGAACGUUUCGUUGAACGAUUUGUUUGAAUGAUUUGUUUGAACGAUUUGUUUGAACGAACUGGAAUGGAUUCGUUUCCUCAAGUGAACAAUAGAUCCCGUCAUUACUACUGUGUGCCAACUAAACAUUUUUAUAAAUUCUUAUAAAUACAGUUGUCAUUGACAAAUUUUUAUUCCCACUCAAUUAUUUGCCUCAGUCAGUGUUCUAGAUUGCGUGCAAACAAUAACCGAAAUAAACAGACAAACAAUUCAACCACCAUGUUUCCAAACGCAGCAGUUCAAAACUCUGUUUCCCAUAAUGCCUAGUGCAGCUUUGCUCACUGGCAGCUACCCUAUUAGCGAGCACCGGUAGCUGAGGAAAAAAUCAAAUAUUGCUAUAAAAGUUUACAGUCAUCGGCAGCGCAAUGAUUAGAGGUGGGAUCUUUUGGCACCUAACGAUUCGAUUAUGAUUACAAUUCAGAGGCUCCGAUUUGAUUAUAAAUCGAUUAUUAACCCCCCCCCCCUUUAAUGUUUUGUACAUUAGUUUCAAAAUUGUUCAAAAAUCUUCUCCAGCUAAACCAAACUAAUGUUUCAGUAUCAAGUUAACAGUUAAAAACAGUAAAUAAAAUCCUCAAGUCACAUUCUGUACCAGCAGCUUUAAACUACAUUCAAUUACUUUAUUUAUGUGAAUCAACCGUUAGAGUUGUUAAAAUUGUUCCCGUUAUUCCAUAAUUUCCCUUCUGUCUACCUUCGACAUGUCAAAGUUUUAAAACUGUUUCAUCAUUUAAGAUAGAUUCAAGUCAAGAUUUUGCCGAUUUAGGAGUAUUUUAGAUAAAAAGUUGAUUAGGUUCGUUUUACCAUUACAACAGAGCCUUCUAUAGAAGUCUACUGCUUUAAGAUGGCGGCUGUUUACAACGCGGCAACUACUAAAUGGCAAGUCUAUCAUUUCUCAUCGUCGUUCUCUUGACAUGAUCUAACGCCGCCAUCGACUGUCAUUUUGCAUUUAAUGCUACACAUAUAUGAUAUGUACUAUAGCCGUAUGUGGCCGUAUGUUUGUAGCAACUAGCAACUGGGCGUUGUUUGAAGCAGCUGUCGGACGCAGGUAUUAUUGUUUUUUAUAUCUAGCGGCAUGAGUUGAACAUGAUAUUUACUCUCAGUCCGUUCCUCAUUGCGUCCCGAAGACCGCGCUGACCAGGGGUAGUGUUAACCGAAUAUUUUCCGUCGUUGACCGAUUUUUUAAAACGGUGACGGAAAAAACUGAAGUCCAUCUGUCAUUUUGACAGGUUGCAAUUCACACCCCAGGCCACAGGGUGGCGAGUGAGCAUAUUAAUUAGCUAUUGUCUCACUUGAUGCAUGACGUCGUUGGCCUUACUGAGAAAAAUGUCAAGGCAACUGAGUGUUUGCCUGGCACGGCCAGACUGUUCUCCCUGUAUUUUUCAAACACUGAGAGAAAAGUCUGGGACACAGCCUCUCGAGUAGGUACAAAAUCAAUCGACAAAUCAGAUUUGUUUAUUUGCGUGACGUGUUUUUCACGAGCAACGUCACUCUUGCGCGCCGAAAGUCGUCUCUACAACAACACGGAUGGCGAACGGGAAAGCCGAGAAUAUGUUCCAAUCCGCGGUAAAUUCCGUUUUAAAUGAGCUAAAACUCAUCGACACGAGUCAUUGACAACAGUCUGUCUCGCGCUAGCCAUGUUGAAUAAACUCCGUUCUCCUCGUAUGUUUACUUCCGCGCCAAGUCCCUCGUCCUGCCCUCGUCGCUUUGCUAACGGCAUGUCUGCCCGUCGCUGAUUGGUGCACUCCGCUGUCUGUUUGCCUCUUGUUAAGCUUGUUCGGACAGAAUAUUAAUUAAAAAUGAAUGAAAACUAAAUACUAUUGAAUAUGUCAUUAUUAUCAUUUUAAAAAUGUAAGUGACAGGUAAAAAUAGAUUAUGACCAGAUUUUUAUGACACUCUCAGUCAAAAUGACAGACAACGAAAAAGUCUAGCGCAACCUCUGGCGCUGACUGUUUUAUUUCUGCUUUACCUGGUAUAAUUCAAUAAUCGGAAUUUGGAUGUUUGUGAAUAGUUCUCGAAUCUUCCACAGCCGAAUCGCGAAUAAUCUAAGAAUCGGAAAUUUCGCGUGCCUCUAGCAAUGAUGCAACAUCAAACGGGAUUUUACUAGGGCUGUCCCAAACGACUAAUUUUCUCCCGAUUAGUCAGCCGACUAUUUUUACGAUUAGUCGACUAAUCUAAUAAUUAAAAAAAAAAUUUUUUUUUUUUUUUUUUUGUUUACUAAUUUAGCAAUGAAAUUUUUGUUGACGCUUAUCAAUUCACAAACGACAUAUUGGAACACUUAAAUUAUUUAUUAAAGUACAAAUAAACACGUAAAUAACAAUAAUAAAUCACAAAUAAACAAUGAGUUAAAAUGCUGAUAGAAUUAACUAGUGUAGCAUCCCGAUUGAAAAGAUGGUCUCUUAAACUGAUGGUUUACAACUUUUUUUCCAUCCUUGAUGUAAUCACACUGUAAGAGCUAUGGUGCACACAAAUAAAACAACACAAUUAGAAAUUAACAUAAAUUUUUCACCUUUUUCCUUUAAACCCUUUAAGGUCUGGGCCUAUUUUGUCUGAUUUUGCAUGCCUUUGAAGUUGCCUUUAUAUUUCAAAGACAGAAUUGUUUACGAUGGCCUGGUUUGGUCCCUUUUUUUGUGACACCUUGAACUUCAUGUCCAAACUGUUGUUUCCUUCACUGACCAAUUAUAAAUCAUAAUUUUGGGCCCAAAAAGACCAAAAAUUCCAAAAUCGUUUUGUCAAAAUUUUUAAUAUUGAUGUCCAAUUGACAACCAAACAUGCGUAACGAACCGUUUUGAAACUUUGUAAUAUUUAUUCAACAUGUUAGGAUGAACAUUCAACCAAAAAAAAUUAGAAUAAAUAGUCUUUUAUUUGACAAUUCAACAUAAACAACAGGUAUAGCCAUAGGCGUUUUUUGCAUUUAUACAUGCUCUAGUCAAAACAGGUUAUAUACAGCAGACCAAACAGUGAAGAACAGUGAAAAAAUAUACCAUCUAACACAAAAAGUGUUUAGAGGCCAUCUCUUUAUGAGUUUAGGUAUUGCGGCCCAUCACCUGAUGAAAACUAUGUACACACAAUCAAGCUUCUUGAACACACAUUUAUAUACACAAAUUGAGAAGACUGAUUGUGGGAAAAAAUAUAUAUAUAUAACAUUGGGGAAAAAAGUAUUUUCAAAAAUAUUUACAAUAAACAAGUUAAAUUUUUUUCAGGCAUGCCACUCCGAAAAGCAGUUUCGUCCUGGAAUUAGACACAGGGCUACAUCACAGCCCACACUUCCAUGGGGUGUCGGUCCUCUUUCCACCCUUCCGUUUUCAUUUCACUUUACUUUCAUUGUCACUAUAAAUGUACAUGAAACAAAAGUCAGUAUUUAUGAAAAUAAUAAAGUAUAAAAUAAAAAUAUAUACAGCAAUAAAUAAUAAUGGAAAUCUAUAUGUAUGACAAUAGAAAGAAUACCGUAGCUGAAUAUGUGCUACAUCCCUAAUCUUCAUAUAGAAAGAAGACCACAAAUUAUACUUUGAUCUGAUAUGCACAUUUUAUUAUUACAUACACAAACACGCACUUAUAUUGCAUCAAAAUUAACUUUGUCUUGCAAUAUCAAAAGAAACUUUUACAGCAUUAAAAAAAAAAAAAAAGUGAGUUGGCUUACCUCUGCUCGUCGAUGGCGUCACCCACGUGUUCAAAUCCGUCACUAUCUUCACUCGAGGACUCUUCCGAAGAAGACGAUGAUGACGAAUUUGGACCACCCUCUUCCUCAAGUUGAUCAAAAAGCACAAUUGCUUGCGCUAAAUUUAGUUUUCCGUUCAUCCUCAAAGUCACACAAAGUCGCUCGCCCGCUUGCUUGAUUCAAACGGCCGUCGCUCGCCCCCUCGCUGCGUCAGAACACUCCUGCCUCUCGUUCGGUGGAACCUCGCACGGCAGUUAUAUUUAUAAAAAAAAAAAAACGCAUUUUGUGCUUCCACUGUGACUUCGAAAGGGUUCGUUUGAUUUGUGUUUUUUUCAUGGAGCUUCCGUUUUGAAAAAGGACAAGAAAUGAUGGAAAUAUAGACAUAAACAAAUGAUCCAUGCAGCGUUUUAAUGUUUUUUUGAGAGGACAAUAAAACUAUAAAACUUAAAUGACAAUAUCUCACGUUUUAGUUGGUCGAUUGACUUCAAAUAACAACGAGAGUAAACCGCAACUUCCGCACUUUAAAACGAGACCAACCAACGGCAUGUGGGUGACGUAAUUAAAACGCGAGGGUGCUUCAAGGACGACGUGCGCUGAGGACGCGCCGGCGCGUCCUUCGACUCUCAAGGGUUAAACCUUAUUUAUAUAUCAAUGAAUUGCCUAUAUGAAUUGCCUUUACCUUAUUUUAUUACCUUAUCAUUGACAAUCUCUCUCUUGAGUGCAAUCACUGUAUACACUGUAUAUAUUUAUGACCUUUUAACCUUAUAUAAUUUUCUAUACCAUAAAAUAAACCAUAACAUGAAAUAAACCUUUCAGUUAGCAUUAAGAACAAUACUAAUAGCACUUCAUAGGCCCAUUGUCAAUGAAACAUUAUUAUUUAGUAAGGCGACAGCACCCUCUGGUGUACAGAAAAUGAAAAAAAAAAAAAAAUUUACAAAC